Molecule: transfer RNA, 73 nt
Filed under: Camelus bactrianus (Bactrian camel)
Lineage: Eukaryota; Metazoa; Chordata; Mammalia; Artiodactyla; Camelidae
Also listed under: 2 other names
Rfam family: tRNA
About the family: Transfer RNA (tRNA) molecules are approximately 80 nucleotides in length.
Source: Rfam by way of RNAcentral
GGAGGGAUAGCUCAAGUGGUAGAGCACUUGCUUAGCAUGCAUGAGGUCCUGGGUUCAAUCCCCAGUACCUCCU